UGGGGAAUUUUGGACAAUGGGCGAAAGCCUGAUCCAGCCAUGCCGCGUGCAGGAUGAAGGCCUUCGGGUUGUAAACUGCUUUUGUACGGAACGAAAAGACUCUGGUUAAUACCUGGGGUCCAUGACGGUACCGUAAGAAUAAGCACCGGCUAACUACGUGCCAGCAGCCGCGGUAAUACGUAGGGUGCAAGCGUUAAUCGGAAUUACUGGGCGUAAAGCGUGCGCAGGCGGUUAUAUAAGACAGAUGUGAAAUCCCCGGGCUCAACCUGGGAACUGCAUUUGUGACUGUAUAGCUAGAGUACGGCAGAGGGGGGUAUGGAAUUUCCGCGUGUAGCAGUGAAAUGCGUAGAUAUGCGGAGGAACACCGACGGCGAAGGCAAUCCCCUGGGCCUGUACUGACGCUCAUGCACG
Molecule: ribosomal RNA, 411 nt
Filed under: uncultured bacterium
Lineage: Bacteria
Description: partial 16S ribosomal RNA
Rfam family: Bacterial small subunit ribosomal RNA
Source: RNAcentral